ACUUCCUCCCAGGCCCUCUAGGGGGAUGGUCAGGCUUCUGCAGUGAUGGGGAGGAACCUUUCCUGACUGCUUCAGCUGCCAUAACAAAAUAUCACAGACUGGGUGGAUUAAACAACAGAAAUUUAUUUCUCACAGUUCUGGAGGCUGGGAAGUCCAAGAUAAGGUGCCAGCAAGGUGAAGACACUGACAAUAAGAAAAGGCAAACCACAGGUCCAAGACAAAGUGGUCAAGUCAAGAAGGAACUCAGGCUGUGUAGUCCUGGUGCAAGGCUCCUUGCCCCCAGCGUGGGGUCACACUGGCUGGCUGUGCUCCCACGACACUUAGUGCAUACUGGGCUCCUGACUUAAUAACACAUGUCUGAAAUGGCCCCUGAUCCCCAAUCUGCUGCAGGAUUCGGCAGAUGCACAAAAGGCCGCAGUGGAAGGUCUUGGAGAGAAUUCAGAGUGGCUUGCUUACGUUCCCAUGACCGUGUGUCCUAAUGGGAGAAUCACCACUUUGGAAAAUUCUUUUGGAGGCCAGGCGCGGUGGCUCACGCCUGUAAUCUCAGCACUUUGGGAGGCCGAGGCAGGCAGAUCACCUGAGGUCAGAAGUUCGAGACCAGCCUGGGCAACAUAGUGAAACCCCAUCUCUACUAAAAAUACAAAACUUAGCCUGGCAUGGUGGUGCACACCUGUAGUCCCAGCUACCCGGGAGGCUGAGGCAAGAGAAUCGCUUGAACCUGGGAGGCAGAGGUUGCAGUGAGCCAAGAUUGCACCCCUGCACUCCAGUCUGGGCAACAGAGCAAGACUCUGUCUUAAAAAAAAAAUUCUUUUGAGGCUAGCUGUGAAUGAGCUCAGAGGGAAAGGCAGGAGCCUUCAGGUAGGGAGCAGCAUGAUUCCACACCGAUUCAGGCCUCCUGGGUGUACAGAGGGCAGGAGGAUCCUCCCCAGGUAUGUGAGAGGAAGGGAAGACAAGGUGUUUGGGUCAGAGAACACACUAGAAAUCCAGGUGCUCACUGAUGGAUGGUGCUUGGCAUCUCUGUGUUCUGCCAAUCCAGCCUCAAAGCAACUUUGGAAGAGGAUUUAUGCCCUUCACACGCUUCCAGCCUGGGCCAGAGCAUCUGCACACUCUCCUGGGUAUAGGCCUCCAGGGCUUGGAGCAAAGGAAGAGCUAAGAAUUGUCAGUGCUCAGGAGGCAGGUUUUCAGGGAGGAUCCUCUUGCAUCUCAGCACAUGGGAAGGGCUAAGAGAGCCUGGAGUGUCCUGUCCCAGUGCUGGGGUCUCAGAAGGCAGCUUUGGGGCAUCUCCACCGUGGUCUGACUCCUGCUGCUUGAAACCAUUCUCCCUCAGGGCACAGGCAAGGGUCCUCAAGGAAGAGCACCUGGGCACCUGGGUUGACUCUUCCUCUUUCCUCUACUGGUUCACCUGGAGUCAUGCUCUGACUUAAUCCCCCUCUGCAUUUCUUUCUCUUCUCAGAGGCCUGGACUUAGCCUUGACUCAGCCUUCCUCAGUGUCUGGGACUUGGUAAACAGUCACCAUCUUCUGCACUGGAAGCAGCAGUGACAUUGAGGGUUCUAACCAUAUCUCUUGGUACCUACAGUGCCCAGGAACUGGCCCCACACUCCUGAUUUAUUAUGUCCAUUCUCAACCCUUAGGGGUCCCAGCUUGAUUUUCAGUCUCUAGGUCUGGCAACACGGCCUUCCUGGCCAUCUUUGGCCUGUAGCCUGAAGAUGGGCCUGACAGUCACUGUUUGUUCUGGGACAGCCAUAGCAUUUUUACCCACAUGUGCUCCAAGUCCACGGGGAACAGAGACCAAAUCUGCCAUGAGUGACCAGUGUCACGGGGCUUCACACCAGUCAGGCAGUCAGAUGGUGGUGUUUGCUUUCAUUUCUGCUCAUCAUCCCAAGGGUGUGGACGCUUCAGGAAUGGGACCCUAUGCAACUCUCAUUGCUCUUUAUAAUGAUGUGGGAAAGAGAAACCAUCUCCCAGGGGACUUGGCUUUGCAAAAAUGAAAAUAAAAGCUCCCUCCUCCCUCUGUGCAGUGAAUGGCCUCUGAAUGCAGACUUGGUCUCCCUCUUCAUUGGCAAGGUUGGAGGAAGAACAAGAGCUUCUUAUUGCACUGAGACAACUCAGGGGCCACCUCAUUUGAAGAUGUGCAUCAGUGUGAGCCCAGUCCUACUACAGGGUUGUUUUCAAUUUAUAUCCAAUGUUUCUCUGGCCUGGAACUGAGACCUACCUCCCAAGCAGCGACCCAUGGACUGGGGUCCCUGGGGCAAACAGGUGGCCCUUAGCCUGGAGAACCUGGGCCAGCAGG
Molecule: long non-coding RNA, 2291 nt
Organism: Symphalangus syndactylus (siamang)
Lineage: Eukaryota; Metazoa; Chordata; Mammalia; Primates; Hylobatidae
Source: RefSeq, a predicted model, not a curated record